RNAcentral lists this ribosomal RNA (118 nucleotides) under Anolis carolinensis (green anole). Lineage: Eukaryota; Metazoa; Chordata; Lepidosauria; Squamata; Anolidae. The record is from RNAcentral.
UCACAGGGCCUAAAACCCUCAAGGCACCAGAUCCCAUAUGAUCUUGGAAGCUAAGUAGGAUAAUCCCUAGUUAUGACUUGGAUGGGAGACCAUCAAUGAACACUAGGUGCUGUAGGAU